CUCAGACAGCCAGGAUGUUGGCUUAGAAGCAGCCAUCAUUUAAAGAAAGCGUAAUAGCUCACUGGUCGAGUCGGCCUGCGCGGAAGAUGUAACGGGGCUAAACUAUGCACCGAAGCUGCGGCAGCGAACGUAUCACUUAAACUGAUUAAGUGAUAUUCAAUAGUAUCAGAACGAUUGACGGAGCAACGCGACGUCAAUGCGUCCAACAAAGUCGAGGCGGAAACGUCAGACAGUCAGUUUAAGGAUACGUUCGUUGGGUAGGGGAGCGUUCUGUAAGCCUGUGAAGGUGUACUGUGAGGUAUGCUGGAGGUAUCAGAAGUGCGAAUGCUGACAUAAGUAACGAUAAUGCGGGUGAAAAACCCGCACGCCGGAAGACCAA
RNAcentral lists this ribosomal RNA (379 nucleotides) under Providencia rettgeri. RNAcentral's name for it is "bacterial LSU rRNA". It matches the Rfam family "Bacterial large subunit ribosomal RNA", at positions 1084 to 1348 of the family's 2925-position model. Lineage: Bacteria; Pseudomonadati; Pseudomonadota; Gammaproteobacteria; Enterobacterales; Morganellaceae. The record is from RNAcentral.